ACUUAAAUUUAUUGAAUAGGUUGUUUUUAGGGGAAUAGAUAAGGAAAGGGCUUUGUCUAGCUUCACUUUCUAGAAGUUGUGCUCCAAAUUCCAACCCAACUCAUUGCAAAUGAAUUAGCAAGAUUUUCCAAUCUAUGAUAUAUAUUUUACAUUUAUCCCUUGCAUUUUAUACUUAUUGAUCUAAGACAUUACAGUCUUGCUUUGAAAAGCUAUAUAGCACUAUCCAAUUUUUCAUUAUUCUAUAUAGAACAUUUUUUGUGAUGCUGCUGCACUGUAAACAACUCAAAAAUCUCAGCGGCUUAAAACCCUAUUUCUUACUAUGGGCUUGUAGGUCAGUUGUGGCACUGCUGGGUUCUGCUGGGCUCAGAUGGGGUCAGCUGGGCUUGGAUCCAGGCUGCAUGUUGUACUCGGGUGUGCUCAAUGUUUCUUCUCAUUCCAGGACUAGUGACUCAUGGCAGGUGACAAAGGUGUAAGCAGCAAGAAAAAACAUUCAAGUUUAUUCAGAGCUUCUGCUGCAUCAAAUUCAUUAACAUCCCAUUAACCAAAGCAAGUCACAUGGCUCAACUCAAAGUUAGCAGGAUGAGGAUGGAGAUUCCUGUACUAUUCUGGGAGGCCUGCAGAGUUAUGACAGAACAGAUUUAGAUGGAAUGCUAUUACAGAGAGGAGGUUGAAAAAUAGAACGAUAAUCUAUUUUGCCACAAUUGUAAAAUAAUGAAAUAUUUUCAUUGAAUAAUGAAAGCAACAAUGGUGACAGUAAUGAUAAUGACAGUACAGGCAAGUUUUCUUUCCCCUAGUUUUUAACAUUUAGCUAUAUUUACCCUGAGAUUUUUAUCCUUAAUGUUAAUGACCUAAUACAUUGGUCUUAUGGGAAUGCUUUAUUUUAUCCCAUGAAUAAUUAAAGAACAUUUGGGGGAAGAAAGAACUUUCUCCCAAGCAAAAAGAGAAGUGCUUAGGAACUGAUGUGGCACUGUCAAAGGACAUAGGACCUUGAGAGCACUUUGAGGAUAUGACUUUCAACCUAACACCUUGCCUGGCUUCAAUCUUAUUCUUGAGUAUUAGGGAAAGGAGACUGUGAUGUCAAACAUAUACAUUUAGAAUGUCCUUAAAAAAUAAAAAUAAAAACAGGAGACUAGAGUACUUUGUUGCUUAGGUAAAAGGAGUACGUCAUAUCUUGGAUGAAGAUUUCUUGUUCCCACUUUGCAGGCCUCCCCAAAGCCCAGCAGAUUGAGAAUGAAACAAGAACAUUCACUAUGUGAGCUAGAAACAGGAGAGGAUAUUCUGGCUCAUCAAGCAUGGAUAGCAGCAGGAAAUCUCCAGUUUUGGUCUGUGGGGACUUGGUGAGACAGACCAAAGUAGGAGGAAAAUGGUAGACCCAUGGCACAAAAUUGAGUGUCGUCUUAUGCUGAAGAUGUGAUGAACAAAAAAAGGAAAGAAGAAAAGAAGGGAACACAGAUAGCAAGCAGCAAGUGAAUGGAAUACUGCACAUCUACCUAGCCAGCAAGGGGCGCUCUCAGGAGCCUAUACCAGGACCCCUGAGUCCCAGCCUGCAGUGUCACAUACUGCCCCACUCCGCUGCCAACGUUACUGCUGCAGUAAUCCUUUACCCUCUUCCUCCUGUCUCUGUUAUCCACUCACCUUACUUCUAUUCAUUCAAGUUCAUAAGCCUGCAUUUUGGGUAAGAAAAUCUAAUGCUUUUGAGAUGUCUGCUCAGCUUGAUAUUGAAUGACUUAAAUGCACAAUGUCCUUUCCCCAGCCCAGGAGUGGACUCAGGCUCCUCGUUCCUCGUUUUCAAUAGAACUCCUCAUUCCUUCCAGGAAGUGUAAGGUCUGGGAGUUAGGGAAAAGGGAUGCUUAAAGACACCCAAUACUAACUGGUCUCAUGGCCAAAAAGAGAUACAGUUUCACUCCCUGCCUCUGCAAAAUGACUUUGUGUAAGAAAAUGACAAAUAGCAGCCCUUUGUAUUGUAGCAUAAAAAGACGCAAGACAUUUACAUCAAAAUGUUAGUAACUUAGCUUGUUUCAAUAAAUGUUAAGUAGAAGUAUAUUUAUUCAGGUAUUUUCUCCCCUCAUAUAUUUUGAAUCCAUAGUCAAAUGUUUCCCUUUAUAUUCAGACUCUCAUACCUUUUUCCAUUUGGAAUCACGUCAAUCAGUUUUACAGCU
Molecule: non-coding RNA, 2159 nt
Organism: Sus scrofa (pig)
Lineage: Eukaryota; Metazoa; Chordata; Mammalia; Artiodactyla; Suidae
Source: RefSeq, a predicted model, not a curated record